Molecule: ribosomal RNA, 500 nt
Filed under: uncultured bacterium
Lineage: Bacteria
Description: partial 16S ribosomal RNA
Rfam family: Bacterial small subunit ribosomal RNA
Source: RNAcentral
AUUGAACGCUGGCGGCAUGCUUUACACAUGCAAGUCGAACGGCAGCACGGGAGCGAUCCUGGUGGCGAGUGGCGAGCGGGUGAGUAAUGUAUCGGAACAUGCCCAGUCGUGGGGGAUAACGCAGCGAAAGUUGUGCUAAUACCGCAUACGAUCUAUGGAUGAAAGCGGGGGAUCGCAAGACCUCGCGCGAUUGGAGUGGCCGAUAUCAGAUUAGGUAGUUGGUGGGGUAAAGGCCCACCAAGCCGACGAUCUGUAGCUGGUCUGAGAGGACGGCCAGCCACACUGGGACUGAGACACGGCCCAGACUCCUACGGGAGGCAGCGGUGGGGAAUUUUGGACAAUGGGCGCAAGCCUGAUCCAGCAAUGCCGCGUGCAGGAUGAAGGCCUUCGGGUUGUAAACUGCUUUUGUAUGGAACGAAAAGACUCUCUCUAAUAAAGGGGGUUGAUGACGGUACCAUGAGAAUAAGCACCGGCUAACUACGUGCCAGCCGCCGCGGUAA